RNAcentral lists this ribosomal RNA (272 nucleotides) under uncultured bacterium. RNAcentral's name for it is "partial 16S ribosomal RNA". It matches the Rfam family "Bacterial small subunit ribosomal RNA", at positions 35 to 305 of the family's 1533-position model. The record is from RNAcentral.
GCUGGCGGCACGCCUAACACAUGCAAGUCGAGCGGUAACAUGAUCUAGCUUGCUAGAUUGAUGACGAGCGGCGGACGGGUGAGUAAUGCGUAGGAACAUGUCCUAGAGCGGGGGACAACUCGGGGAAACUCGAGCUAAUACCGCGUAAUCUCUAAGGAGCAAAGGAGGCAGCUUGCUGCUUUCGCUUUAGGGUUGGCCUACGUUGGAUUAGCUAGUUGGUAAGGUAAAGGCUUACCAAGGCGACGAUCCAUAGCUGAUUUGAGAGGAUGAUC